UUGACAGUAUGUGAAAACUGAAUCUUCUGUUUAUGUACAGAAGAUGGAGAACACAGUGGAAGUGCAAGCUUCCUCAAACUGUCCUGCCAGUGUUCCUCAACCCAACCCUGGAGUGGAUCAUCUCUAGGACUUGGGGGGAGGGGGACAAGAGCUUAGUCUGGGAAGAGCAUUCGGUCCUUGGCCUCA
Molecule: small RNA, 186 nt
Filed under: Chrysemys picta bellii (western painted turtle)
Lineage: Eukaryota; Metazoa; Chordata; Testudines; Emydidae
Description: TUC338 (ENSCPBG00000023175.1)
Source: RNAcentral